CCCUUAGAUGUCCUGGGCCGCACGCGCGCUACACUGAUGAAUUCAACGAGCACUAACCUGUGCCGAAAGGUUCGGGUAAUCUUGUGAAAUUUCAUCGUGAUGGGGAUUGAUUAUUGCAAUUUUUAAUCAUAAACGACGAAUGCCUAGUAAGCGUGAGUCAUCAGCUCACGUUGAUUACGUCCCUGCCCUUUGUACACACCGCCCGUCGCUCCUACCGAUUGAAUGUGCCAGUGAAAAGUUCGGAUUGGAGAUAGGAGACGGCAACGUAUCCUAUUUCCGAGAAAAUCUUUAAACUUUCCCAUUUAGAGGAAGGAGAAGUCGUAACA
RNAcentral lists this ribosomal RNA (326 nucleotides) under uncultured eukaryote. Its description in RNAcentral is "partial 18S ribosomal RNA". It matches the Rfam family "Eukaryotic small subunit ribosomal RNA", at positions 1470 to 1796 of the family's 1831-position model. The record is from RNAcentral.